AUGGCGGCGUGCCGGGGAUUCUUCGAGUGCCUGCUCAGGCUGCUCAACUUUUUCCUCACCGUCGCCGGCCUUGCCAUGGUCGGCUACGGGAUCUACCUGCUCGUGGAGUGGAUGAGGAUCUCCGGCGGUGGCGGAGGGGCACCGCCGUCUCCGCCCCCGCCGGCUGAGUUGCUUACGUUCGGCCGCCCGAUGCUCACCGUCGUGGCCCUUGGAGAAGGAGGCAGUUUCUUCGACAAGCUACCCAAAGCAUGGUUCAUCUAUUUGUUCAUUGGUGUUGGUGCUGUUAUCUUCAUCGUUUCUCUAUUUGGCUGCAUUGGAGCAGGGACAAGGAAUACGUGUUGCUUGUGUUGUUAUUCUUUCUUGGUCAUAUUAUUAAUCCUUGCCGAGGCUGGAGGUGCUGCAUUCAUAUUCUUUGACCAUAGCUGGAAAGAUGUAAUUCCAGUGGAUAAGACACAAAACUUUGAUGCCAUGUAUGACUUUCUGAAUGAAAACUGGAAGAUUGCAAGAUGGGUUGCUCUUGGUGUUGUUGUUUUUGAGGUAUUGCUUUUCUUGUUAGCUCUUGCUGUCAGGGCAAUGAACAAACCCGCCGAGUAUGACAGUGAUGAUGAAAUCAUUGGAACUGCUCGAAGCACUAGCAUCCGUCAGCCUCUUAUCCAUUCCCAGAAUGCUCCGGCUACCGGUGUUCCCGUCCCAACACUUGAUCAACGUGCGAGCAGAAAUGAUGCAUGGAGCCAAAGGAUGCGAGAGAAGUAUGGUCUGGACACAAGCCAAUUUACUUACAACCCAUCAGAUGCAACCAGAUAUCAGCAAAAUGGGGCACCUCCAGCUGAAGAAAGGAGCCGUUGCACCGUAAUGUGA
This 858-nucleotide ribosomal RNA is filed under the name Triticum aestivum (bread wheat). RNAcentral's name for it is "partial small subunit ribosomal RNA". The record is from RNAcentral. Lineage: Eukaryota; Viridiplantae; Streptophyta; Magnoliopsida; Poales; Poaceae.